GACGAACGCUGGCGGCGUGCUUAACACAUGCGAGUCGUACGGUAAGGCCCUUUCGGGGGUACACGAGUGGCGCACGGGUGAGUAACACGUGAGUAACCUGCCCACAACUUUGGGAUAACGCUAGGAAACUGGUGCUAAUACUGGAUAUGUGCUCCUGCUGCAUGGUGGGGGUUGGAAAGCUCCGGCGGUUGUGGAUGGACUCGCGGCCUAUCAGCUUGUUGGUGGGGUAGUGGCCUACCAAGGCGGCGACGGGUAGCCGGCCUGAGAGGGUGACCGGCCACAUUGGGACUGAGAUACGGCCCAGACUCCUACGGGAGGCAGCAGUGGGGAAUAUUGCACAAUGGGCGCAAGCCUGAUGCAGCAACGCCGCGUGCGGGAUGACGGCCUUCGGGUUGUAAACCGCUUUCAGCAGGGACGAAGCUUUUUGUGACGGUACCUGCAGAAGAAGCACCGGCUAACUACGUG
Molecule: ribosomal RNA, 465 nt
Filed under: uncultured bacterium
Lineage: Bacteria
Description: partial 16S ribosomal RNA
Rfam family: Bacterial small subunit ribosomal RNA
Source: RNAcentral